This 72-nucleotide transfer RNA is filed under the name Phrynosoma platyrhinos (Desert horned lizard). RNAcentral describes it as "tRNA-OTHER". Lineage: Eukaryota; Metazoa; Chordata; Lepidosauria; Squamata; Phrynosomatidae. The record is from RNAcentral.
GCCAGCAUGGUGCAGUGGUUUGAGUGGUGGACUACAACUCUGGAGAACAGGGUUUGAAUCCCUGCUCAGCCA